UACGGAGGGUGCAAGCAUUAAUCGGAUUUAUUGGGCGUAAAGGGCGCGUAGGCGGCCUUGCAAGUCAGAUGUGAAAGCCCGGGGCUCAACCCCGGAACUGCAUUUGAAACUGCUUGGCUUAGAGGGUGGUCGGAGAAAAUGGAAUUCCACAAGUAGCGGUGAAAUGCGUAGAUAUGUGGAAGAACACCAGUGGCGAAGGCGGUUUUCUAGAUUACUCCUGACGCUGAGGCGCGAAAGCUAGGGGA
Molecule: ribosomal RNA, 245 nt
Filed under: uncultured bacterium
Lineage: Bacteria
Description: partial 16S ribosomal RNA
Rfam family: Bacterial small subunit ribosomal RNA
Source: RNAcentral